CGCGUAGGUGGUUAAUUAAGUCAGAUGUGAAAGCCCAGGGCUCAACCUUGGAACUGCAUUUGAAACUGGUUGACUAGAGUUUUGUAGAGGGUGGUAGAAUUUCAGGUGUAGCGGUGAAAUGCGUAGAGAUCUGAAGGAAUACCAGUGGCGAAGGCGGCCACCUGGACAAAGACUGACACUGAGGCGCGAAGGCGUGGGGAGCAAACAGGAUUAGAUACCCUGGUAGUCC
Molecule: ribosomal RNA, 229 nt
Filed under: uncultured bacterium
Lineage: Bacteria
Description: partial 16S ribosomal RNA
Rfam family: Bacterial small subunit ribosomal RNA
Source: RNAcentral